Bombyx mori (domestic silkworm) is the source of this 1647-nucleotide long non-coding RNA. RefSeq lists it as uncharacterized. The record is from RefSeq and is a predicted model, not a curated record. The transcript has 2 exons. NCBI's taxonomy places the organism in Eukaryota, Metazoa, Arthropoda, Insecta, Lepidoptera, Bombycidae.
AGUGUAUAAUCUAUGGCGCAUGCGUCAGCCGUCAACUAUAAUGCCUAAACUUUCUACGCGGUUUUAAUCGUGAAAAAAAAACAAUUAUAAAUCCUGAAGGAUCGAUUAAUUGGUAUACAGUUUAAUUAAAAAAAUUAAAAAAUAAAUAAAUAAAAUAAUGUGCAUUCGCGUAAAGUUAGACCAAAUACAUUUUUUCCAUCCUCCUAUAUACCUAUCGCUAUGAAGGUAUAAAAAAGAUAGGUUAAGAGUUCACAUAGGUAAUAUAAACAAAUAAGUAAAUAUGUUCAUUAUUUAUCUUUCAAGAGAUAAUGUAGGUAUACAUUAUAAUAACAUUUUGACACAGUCGAAAUUAUAUUCCUAACAUUAGUAAUAUAACAUUUUAAUAUUUUUUUUAUAGGUUAUGUAUUGAAAUUGUUGGAAAAUUAUUUCAUGUUUUAGCUGGAAAACUACAUGGAGAAUUAUAUGCAAUACAAGAUAAUGAGCUCCAUUAAAUGAAUUCGAAUGAAACCAAACUGUUUACCAUCCAAAUUCGAUUGUCGGGCAGAUAGAAAACGAAAAUUCACUCAUAGUGAACCUCGGCCUGCAUUUGUGAAACGGCAAAGACUCACUAUUAUCAAGGAAAUUGAAGAGACGACUAAAAAUGAGAUGUGUCGUAUUAUUAUACCUUUGCCAUCUUGUAGUCAAGAUGUCCAGCCACUUGAAAAUAGGUGUAGUAAUGACAAAGCUAUCCAAGUAGCUCCAGCACAGGAACACAAAGGCAAGGCAAGUGUGUAUUGCCACAUCACCCCUUAAUAUAUCUGAAGCAAGUAUAAGUAAACAAUCAGAACCAGCAAAAAAAAAACUGUUGUUCCUGAGGACAAAUUUGACAGUGAUGAGUCAAAUGCACCAGCAACAGAAGGAUCAACUGUUGACUAUGAGUUAUCUCUCUAUAUCUCCACUCCAUCAAAGACUUGUGCACUUCAGACUAUAGCUCUCAAGAAGACUAAAAAGUUGAAAAAAUGAAUGUGUUAACAACUUUAUCUAAAGUGAAAAAUAAACAACGUUUAUAUAUUGGUCUUCCACAAGAAUUAUGUUUCAUAAUAGGCUUGAUUGAGAAACAUACAAAUGUUUCUGAACAAAAUAUUAUAUUAUGUCUGAUGAGAAUAACAUUAAAUAGAACAUUCUCUCAAUUGGCUGAUGAUUUCGAUUUAUCUGUAAGUCAAGCAAGCAAUAUAUAUAUAAUAUAUUUUUCAACAAACUCCCAGAAAUUGCAAAUGUAAUAUCACCCCUUGUUAGACUAUAAAAAAAACAAUACAAUAAAUAUAUAUGCAGGAAGGAUAAUUGAUGUCAACUUGGUGGAAAAUAGAAAGUUUUUAGAUAGUUUGCCACCUACAAAACUCUUUAAUUAAAUAACAAAGUAAUCCUUACUUAUAAAUAGGAAGUUUUGUAAGUAUUUUCACUCUUCAUUCAAAAACUACUGAACAGAUUUUAAUAAGACUUUUAUGCUGGUCUUCUAUGGCUAGCAACUCAUUAUUAUUUUGAUUCUGUUUUCCACAAAUGUGCUAAAUAUGGGCUUAUAUAUAUGAAAAGGAAUAAAUAUUAAUGUUAUGUAACCUUUGUACCUGUAUGUUAAGAAUAAUUUUUAAUAAAACUUAAUUUAAAUUGAAA